GUCAGCUCGUGUCGUGAGAUGUUGCGUUAAGUCGCGCAACGAGCGCAACCCCUGUCCUUAGUUGCCAUCAGGUAAAGCUGGGCACUCUAGGGAGACAAACCCUCUCUGAGGGUGGGAAGGUGGGGAUGACGUCAAGUCCUCAUGGCCCUUAUAGGUGGGGCUACACACGUCAUACAAUGGCUGGUACAAAGGGUUGCCAACCCGCGAGGGGGAGCUAAUCCCAUAAAACCAGUCGUAGUCCGGAUCGCAGUCUGCAACUCGACUGCGUGAAGUCGGAAUCGCUAGUAAUCGUGGAUCAGAAUGUCACGGUGAAUACGUUCCCGGGUCUUGUACACACCGCCCGUCACACCAUGGGAGUGGGUUUUGCCAGAAGUAGU
RNAcentral lists this ribosomal RNA (377 nucleotides) under Paraphysomonas vestita. RNAcentral describes it as "partial Bacterial small subunit ribosomal RNA". It matches the Rfam family "Bacterial small subunit ribosomal RNA", at positions 1054 to 1430 of the family's 1533-position model. The record is from RNAcentral. Lineage: Eukaryota; Chrysophyceae; Chromulinales; Paraphysomonadaceae.